UUGACGUAGACCCGAAACCGGGCGACCUACCCAUGAGCAGGAUGAAGCGAAAGUAAAAUUUCGUGGAGGUCCGAACCCACGAGCGUUGAAAAGCUCGGGGAUGACUUGUGGGGAGCGGUGAAAUUCCAAUCGAGCCCGGAGAUAGCUGGUUCUCCCCGAAAUAGCUUUAGGGCUAGCCUCAAGGUGAGAGAUACGGAGGUAGAGCACUGAAUGUCCUAGGGGG
This 223-nucleotide ribosomal RNA is filed under the name Clostridioides difficile. RNAcentral's name for it is "partial 23S ribosomal RNA". It matches the Rfam family "Bacterial large subunit ribosomal RNA", at positions 704 to 926 of the family's 2925-position model. The record is from RNAcentral. Lineage: Bacteria; Bacillati; Bacillota; Clostridia; Peptostreptococcales; Peptostreptococcaceae.